This 421-nucleotide long non-coding RNA is filed under the name Erythranthe guttata (spotted monkey flower). RNAcentral's name for it is "long non-coding RNA (EGUT_LNC003805)". The record is from RNAcentral. Lineage: Eukaryota; Viridiplantae; Streptophyta; Magnoliopsida; Lamiales; Phrymaceae.
UCAUAAACAAUUCGCAGCAAGUCAUUUGAGGAAUCAUGCGGUAAUUACUCCCUGAGCUUAGACAUUCGAUUCGACUACUUACGUAUUUGCAUUUAUAAACAUUACUUUACGUUCAAAUAUGUUGCAAAAAAUAAAACAAAAGGUGAAGAAAGUAUGAUUUUCUGCCAUUCUCUUUUCUCAUUUUCUGCCAUUAUGAUUUCGCCUAUAUCAACAUAUUUCUAUGGAGAAAACAAUGUAUACAAUGAAUGAAAGUAUAUUCCAUUAAUACUACAUACAACAGAAAUGGAUCAAAUUGUAGUUCAAACUAGUGUUUUAAAGGAACUCCAAUUCAUUAGUCAUAAAAAUAUCAUAUCCUAUAAAUUGAGCUCUAGAUCCCCCAGCCUAGAAACAGUCCCAAUCCUCAAAAGUAAACAAAGUCUAC